RNAcentral lists this ribosomal RNA (497 nucleotides) under uncultured bacterium. Its description in RNAcentral is "partial 16S ribosomal RNA". It matches the Rfam family "Bacterial small subunit ribosomal RNA", at positions 28 to 507 of the family's 1533-position model. The record is from RNAcentral.
GAUGAACGCUGGCGGCGUGCCUAAUACAUGCAAGUCGAGCGGACGGACCAUAAGCUUGCGUCUCUGAUGUUAGCGGCGGACGUGUGAGUAACACGUGUAUCACCUACCUAUAAGUCGGGUAUAACUUCGAGAAUCCGGAGCUUACACCGUAUAAUAUUCUGAACCGCAGUGGGCAAAGGUGAAUGACGGUCUUUCUGUCACUUCUAGAGGGAUCCGCGCUGCAUUAGCUAGUUGGUAAGGUAACGGCUUACCAAGGCAACGAUGCAUAGCCGACCUGAGAGGGUUAUCGGCCACCCUGGAAGUGAGACAGGGUCCAGAGGCCUACGGAAGGGAGCAGUAGCGAAGCUUACGCAGUGGGCGAGAGCAUGACGGAGUGAGGGGGAGUGAGUGGUGACAGUCCUGGGAUCGUGAAGAUCUGUUAUGAGGGAAGAACAUAUGUGUAAGUAAAUGUGGAGAUAUUGACGGUACUUGGUAAGAAAGCACCGGCUAACUACGUG